This is a long non-coding RNA of Pezoporus occidentalis (night parrot), 390 nucleotides long. RefSeq lists it as uncharacterized. Lineage: Eukaryota; Metazoa; Chordata; Aves; Psittaciformes; Psittacidae. The transcript is spliced from 3 exons. The record is from RefSeq and is a predicted model, not a curated record.
AAUUUUAUUCUGCCUUUCAGUGACUUUUAAUGACAGAAUUUUCAAUUCAGCUUCAACCAGCUGUAGAGUGACAGAGUGAACAUUCUUCUUUAAAGACCUGAGUCCAAAUGGUUGUUUAAAGUACUGAGAGAAAAGGAGCCCAAGAGCUUCCAAGAGGUGGAGUCCCUGACGUGAUUUCAUGCAGUCCUCAAGGUGCUUGCCAGGUACAACCCUGCUCAGUCCAUAGAAGAAGAUGAGCUCAUUUUACAAUGCCUGAUUGGAUGGAGAGAGCCAGACACCUGGGAUGUCAGUGAGCAGAAAUUGUUAGGUAGAGGUGUCUACUAUGAGUCCAAGCUGCAAACUCCAGAAAGCACUUUGGGGAGAUCAGAUCAUGCUGAGAGCCUGCUAGUG